Molecule: ribosomal RNA, 301 nt
Filed under: uncultured bacterium
Lineage: Bacteria
Description: partial 16S ribosomal RNA
Rfam family: Bacterial small subunit ribosomal RNA
Source: RNAcentral
CAGUAGCCGCGGUAAUACGUAGGGUGCAAGCGUUAAUCGGAAUUACUGGGCGUAAAGCGUGCGCAGGCGGUUAUAUAAGACAGAUGUGAAAUCCCCGGGCACAACCUGGGAACUGCAUUUGUGACUGUAUAGCUAGAGUACGGCAGAGGGGGAUGGAAUUCCGCGUGUAGCAGUGAAAUGCGUAGAUAUGCGGAGGAACACCGAUGGCGAAGGCAAUCCCCUGGGCCUGUACUGACGCUCAUGCACGAAAGCGUGGGGAGCAAACAGGAUUAGAUACCCGUGUAGUCCCUGUCUCUUAUAC